GGGCGAUUAGCUCAGGGGUAGAGCACUACAUUGACAUUGUAGGAGUCACUGGUUCAAAUCCAGUAUCGCCCAC
Molecule: transfer RNA, 73 nt
Filed under: Synechococcus sp.
Lineage: Bacteria; Bacillati; Cyanobacteriota; Cyanophyceae; Synechococcales; Synechococcaceae
Description: tRNA-Val
Rfam family: tRNA
About the family: Transfer RNA (tRNA) molecules are approximately 80 nucleotides in length. Their secondary structure includes four short double-helical elements and three loops (D, anti-codon, and T loops). Further hydrogen bonds mediate the characteristic L-shaped molecular structure. tRNAs have two regions of fundamental functional importance: the anti-codon, which is responsible for specific mRNA codon recognition, and the 3' end, to which the tRNAs corresponding amino acid is attached (by aminoacyl-tRNA synthetases). tRNAs cope with the degeneracy of the genetic code in two manners: having more than one tRNA (with a specific anti-codon) for a particular amino acid; and 'wobble' base-pairing, i.e. permitting non-standard base-pairing at the 3rd anti-codon position.
Source: RNAcentral